Molecule: ribosomal RNA, 1501 nt
Filed under: Balanoglossus clavigerus
Lineage: Eukaryota; Metazoa; Hemichordata; Enteropneusta; Ptychoderidae
Description: 16S ribosomal RNA
Rfam family: Bacterial large subunit ribosomal RNA
Source: RNAcentral
UCCAAACACCAGCCUCCCCAUUCUCUCAAUUUUAAACAAGACACAUCUACCAGCCACCACCCUCUAGAAGUAAAGGUGAUUGAACCUAGAAACCCACUAUCAGUACCGUAAGGGAAAAAUGAAAAAGCGAUGAAACAGACAUAAAGAACUAAAAAGAAGUGAUAAACUCACGUACCUUUUGCAUUAUGGUUUAGCAAACAAACAGAUAAAACUAUCUCUCCCCGAAGUUAAACGAGCUAUUCCAUUCCAGGGGUUAAAUAUUUAACGCCCUUCGUCCCAUUACUGUCGCAAUAGUAAAGACCGAGAACGGAAUAGAGGUGAAAUGCCAACCGCGUUUAACGAUAGCUGGUUACGGCCGAAACAAGCAGGAGCUUUGCAUGCCCUAGCAAUGUUAGGAUUUUAGGGAUAAGCUUAAAAUCCAAGACAGAAACAACUGCUAAUUAAAAUAAGGUCAAUAACAAUUAAUUCCUCUUAACCGUAGGCUUAGAAGCAGCCAACAAUUAAAAUGCGUUACAGCUUAUAAAACAAAAAUUUAAAAAUAACUGCCACCACAACCUAAUUUAUUUUAGGCCGUUAUUUCUUUUUAGAAAAUAACACUGCUAAAACUAGUAACUCCUCUUCAAUCCCUGACCAUCCGGCUCCUAACCUCGGAAGGAAAUUUUUUAGUUCUAAGAACUCCUAAGCCAGAAAAUCCCAACCGUUGACCCAACCCAGGCGAAGAAUCUAACCAAAAAUAAAGAGAAGGAACUCGGCAAAUAAGGUCUCGCCUGUUUACCAAAAACAUCGCCCCCCGAAGCCCAAAUAUGGGGGGUACUGCCUGCCCAGUGAAUAAAUUUAAACGGCCGCGGUACCCUAACCGUGCAAAGGUAGCACAAUCACUAGCCCUCUAAAUAAGGUCCGGUAUGAAUGGCAACACGAAGGCCUGACUGUCUCCUCUUUAACAAAUGAAACUUCUCUAGCCGUGCAAAAGCGGCCAUAAAAGCGCCAGACGAGAAGACCCUAUCGAGCUUUAAGGGUAAGGGAACGACUAAAAACUAGGCUAGCUGAAUUUAUGGUUUACCAAUUACCCACACCCCUAGCUUUGCUCUUUGUCCCUUGGCCCUUUUGGUUGGGGCAACCACGGAGAACAACCACCCUCCGAGCCAAAUUUCUUUCAAAUGACAGCACGUCUUUAAUAAAACCCUUAUGGCACAUGAUCCGGUCUAUCCGAACAACAAACAAAGUUACCGUAGGGAUAACAGCGUAAUCCCUCCUAAGAGCCCGCAUUGCCGGAGGGGUUUGCGACCUCGAUGUUGGAUCGGGGAAUCCUGAUGGUGCAGCCGCUAUCAAGGGUUGGUCUGUUCGACCAUUAAAACCCCACGUGAUCUGAGUUCAGACCGGCGAGAGCCAGGUCGGCUUCUAUCUACGCAUUUUGUUGCCCUAAGUACGAAAGGACAAGGGUAACCGAGCCAAUAGGCCUCCUACGCUCGACACCAACUUAUGAUUUCAACUAAUCGCUAGG